UACGUAGGGACCGAGCGUUAUCCGGAUUCAUUGGGCGUAAAGAGCUCGUAGGCGGCUAUUCAAGUCGAACGUGAAAUCUCGGAGCUCAACUCCGAGCCUGCGUUCGAUACUGGGUAGCUAGAGUCUGGUAGGGGGAUCUGGAAUUCCUGGUGUAGCGGUGGAAUGCGCAGAUAUCAGGAGGAACACCGGUGGCGAAAGCGGUUCACUGGCCCGACACUGACACUGAGGUGCGAAAGCUAGGGUAGCAAACGGG
This 253-nucleotide ribosomal RNA is filed under the name uncultured bacterium. RNAcentral's name for it is "partial 16S ribosomal RNA". It matches the Rfam family "Bacterial small subunit ribosomal RNA", at positions 524 to 776 of the family's 1533-position model. The record is from RNAcentral.